RNAcentral lists this transfer RNA (72 nucleotides) under Camelus bactrianus (Bactrian camel). It matches the Rfam family "tRNA". Rfam says of the family: Transfer RNA (tRNA) molecules are approximately 80 nucleotides in length. Their secondary structure includes four short double-helical elements and three loops (D, anti-codon, and T loops). The record is from Rfam by way of RNAcentral. RNAcentral also lists the same sequence under 1 other name. Lineage: Eukaryota; Metazoa; Chordata; Mammalia; Artiodactyla; Camelidae.
GAGGGUAUAGCUUAGUGGUAGAGUGCAUGCUUAGCAUGCAUAAGGUCCUGGAUUCAAUCCCCAGUACCUCCA